Molecule: non-coding RNA, 54 nt
Organism: Salmo salar (Atlantic salmon)
Lineage: Eukaryota; Metazoa; Chordata; Actinopteri; Salmoniformes; Salmonidae
Source: Rfam
UGCAUUCACUACUGUAAAUCGCUCUAGAUAAGAGCGUCUGCUAAAUGACUUAAA